CCGACUAUCAGUUCAGUUGGGAUCGUGUUUUCCAGAGUCGUGGGGACACCGGAGUCUUCCUGCAGUACACCCACGCCCGCCUCUGUAGUCUGGAAGAGACUUUUGGAUGUGGGUAUCUCAAUGACUUCAAUGUUGCUUGUUUACAAGAGCCACAGUCUGUUUCAAUUCUCCAGCAUCUUCUCAGGUAUGAAAGUCCUACUAUUACCAAGUCUGAUAUUCUUAACUAAAUUGAGAGCAUUGUUGAUUUCUAGAGUCCUCUGUUCACAGGCUACCUCCUGCUGCUAGGUAAACUAGCAGAUCAAGGGCUCAGAUUAAGCCCAUCAUCAAGGUUAAUCCUAGUCUUAAAAGUAUGAUCACAAAGUGUAUUG
RNAcentral lists this long non-coding RNA (368 nucleotides) under Rattus norvegicus (Norway rat). RNAcentral describes it as "long non-coding RNA NONRATT022178". Lineage: Eukaryota; Metazoa; Chordata; Mammalia; Rodentia; Muridae. The record is from RNAcentral.